GCCUGGCUGGCUCAGUCGGCAGAGCGUGUGACUCUGGAUCUCAGGGUUGUGAGUUCGAGCUCCAUGUUGGGUG
This 73-nucleotide transfer RNA is filed under the name Felis catus (domestic cat). It matches the Rfam family "tRNA". From Rfam's summary of the family: Transfer RNA (tRNA) molecules are approximately 80 nucleotides in length. Their secondary structure includes four short double-helical elements and three loops (D, anti-codon, and T loops). The record is from Rfam by way of RNAcentral. RNAcentral also lists the same sequence under 2 other names. Lineage: Eukaryota; Metazoa; Chordata; Mammalia; Carnivora; Felidae.